This 439-nucleotide ribosomal RNA is filed under the name uncultured bacterium. RNAcentral describes it as "partial 16S ribosomal RNA". It matches the Rfam family "Bacterial small subunit ribosomal RNA", at positions 339 to 795 of the family's 1533-position model. The record is from RNAcentral.
CUACGGGUCGCUGCAGUGAGGAAUAUUGCACAAUGGGGGGAACCCUGAUGCAGCAACGCCGCGUGGAGGAUGACGCAUUUCGGUGUGUAAACUCCUUUUAUAUGUCAAGAAAAUGACGGUAGCAUAUGAAUAAGCGCCGGCUAACUCCGUGCCAGCAGCUGCGGUAAUACGGAGGGCGCAAGCGUUACUCGGAAUCACUGGGCGUAAAGGACGCGUAGGCGGGUUGAAAAGUCAGGUGUGAAAGCCUACAGCUUAACUGUAGAACUGCACUUGAAACUCUCAAUCUAGAGUAUGGGAGGGGCAGAUGGAAUUAGUGGUGUAGGGGUAAAAUCCGUAGAUAUCACUAGGAAUACCUAAAGCGAAGGCGAUCUGCUGGAACAUUACUGACGCUAAGGCGUGAAAGCGUGGGGAGCAAACAGGAUUAGAUACCCGCGUAGUC